Molecule: ribosomal RNA, 552 nt
Filed under: Fusarium sp. G137
Lineage: Eukaryota; Fungi; Ascomycota; Sordariomycetes; Hypocreales; Nectriaceae
Description: eukaryotic LSU rRNA
Rfam family: 5.8S ribosomal RNA (bases 203-356)
Source: RNAcentral
GGAAGUAAAAGUCGUAACAAGGUCUCCGUUGGUGAACCAGCGGAGGGAUCAUUACCGAGUUUACAACUCCCAAACCCCUGUGAACAUACCACUUGUUGCCUCGGCGGAUCAGCCCGCUCCCGGUAAAACGGGACGGCCCGCCAGAGGACCCCUAAACUCUGUUUCUAUAUGUAACUUCUGAGUAAAACCAUAAAUAAAUCAAAACUUUCAACAACGGAUCUCUUGGUUCUGGCAUCGAUGAAGAACGCAGCAAAAUGCGAUAAGUAAUGUGAAUUGCAGAAUUCAGUGAAUCAUCGAAUCUUUGAACGCACAUUGCGCCCGCCAGUAUUCUGGCGGGCAUGCCUGUUCGAGCGUCAUUUCAACCCUCAAGCACAGCUUGGUGUUGGGACUCGCGUUAAUUCGCGUUCCUCAAAUUGAUUGGCGGUCACGUCGAGCUUCCAUAGCGUAGUAGUAAAACCCUCGUUACUGGUAAUCGUCGCGGCCACGCCGUUAAACCCCAACUUCUGAAUGUUGACCUCGGAUCAGGUAGGAAUACCCGCUGAACUUAAGCAU